Long non-coding RNA from Acinonyx jubatus (cheetah), 9910 nucleotides. RefSeq lists it as uncharacterized. The record is from RefSeq and is a predicted model, not a curated record. Lineage: Eukaryota; Metazoa; Chordata; Mammalia; Carnivora; Felidae. The transcript has 9 exons.
GAGGAAGUCGGGGAUGGGGUGGGGUAGGGAGGAGUGGGUGAAGAGUGUGGAAGCGGGUAAGGGGGUCUAGGUCAAAGUCGCUCAAGUAGGGUGUAGGUUUUCUACAUUCUUUUCCUGGGAGUGGUGUUGAGGUGGAACAAGCAUUUUCUCCCUGGGUCACACAGCUAGAUGCUUCCAGAGUAGGCUUAACUGAGUAUGAAGCCGGCACUCCUCUUGCAAGGCCUAGGUUUCAUUCACAAACUGGCUAUUUCUCUUCAGGGCCAACUAACAUACUGCGUGCCUAUCAUUCGCUAGCCUGGCUCAUUCACUGUUGAUCUGGGUGUUCCCCAGAUAUCAAAACUUGGAAAGCCCGUGGGCGGCACUAUUUUCCUAGUAAUUUGUAGCUUUAAUAAGAAAUAACAAGAGAAGCACAUUGAACUGUGUUUACACGUAGAGGUAGCUCCCCCCUUGUGUUUUAUUUUAAGCUUUUAUACAAGACCACAAAAGGAGUUUGAAAAAAUUCUGUGUUUAUAAUCUGUGUUGACCAUCUCUGGGUAGAGUUAGGAAGAAAUGAAUUGCCUUUUCAGAUUUUAAUUACAAAGAUAAUGUUUGCUGGAUGCCUUCAGUUUUUUCCUUUUUGCUAUAUGGAAACUUUAAUCAUUAAAUGAUAGCAAACAUGUAAGCAGGUGUCUUGACUGGACUAAUUACAGUUGACCCUUGAACAACUCAGGGGUUAAGGGCACUGACUCCUGGGCAGUGGAGUAUAACUUUUGCCUCCCCCAAAACUUGUAAUAGCCUCCUGUUGACUGGAAGCCUUACCAGGAACAGGAACAGUCACCUAACGCAUAUUUUAAAGAGAACACAAGCGGGGAAGGGGCAGAGAAAGAGAGGGAGACAGAAUCUGAAGCAGGCUCCAGGCUCUGAGCUGUCAGCACAAGAUGUGGGGCUCAGACCCAAGAACAGUGAGAUCAGGACCUGAGCUGAAGUCGGCUGCUUAACCACCUGAGCCGCCCAGUGAGAGAGAGACAAAGCAUGAGCAGGAAGAGGAGCAGAGAGAGAGGGGGAGACACAGAAUCUGAACCAGGCUCCAGGCUCUGAGCUGUCAGCACAGAGCCUGACGCGGGACUCAAACUCACAAGCUGUGAGAUCAUGACCUGAGCCAAAGUUGGACGCCUAACCUACUGAGCUACCCAGGGACCCCAGAAGACUACGCUUCUUAACUGUUAUUUAGUAGCAGUUUUGAGGAAUGUUUAACUACCCAAGAGCAAUAAACAGUGUGAUCAACAAGUUUUUACUCUAUAACAAAUGAUGUAGCAGCAAUAUUUCUCUAGAUAUUUUCUAUAUGCCUAUUAUUAUAAGUUUAUAAGAUUUGAAAACUGAAAGGGCAAAGUGACCUCUGAUAAAAAUAGCAAAAUAACGUCGGAUUAAAUCAUCUUCCUUCAAAUCUAAUGAAAUGAACAGAAGUGGUGAAAAAAACAAGGCAACAAUUCAUGAACAAACAAAGGAGAACACCUUUGCCGUAUGAACUUCAGUGUAAACUUCAGAGUGACGGCUAAGGCAAGUGACGAGUUGUGCUGUGGCUCCUUUCUUCAUACCCACUCACCAGGAGCAGUACUGAGAACUCUGAGCGUUUUUAUUAAUGUCAUCCACUGUGGACGGAAGCAGCCUGAGGGAGUAAGUAGGUAGCCCUGGAUAAGUAAAGGGAAAUGUCUCAAGUGUAGUUGACCCAACUUCUCUCGAUGGGGCCUUGAGGUGGGUGGGGUGGGUGAGGUGGAGAGGGGGCAAGAAGGGCCUCCAUAGCUUCUGAUCCUUCAGGCCCCCGAGGGUGGGUAGGAUGAAUGAGAGGCUUAUCUCCACAGCUGGGUGGGGUGGGCACUGGUGCAAGAUGUUUAACUGGCCUCCAAAGGAGAAAUUAGAGGCUCCCCCCUACCUAUGGGUUUGACCUCACUCACAUGCCUCCCAACAUGCCCUCGGCUAAAGAUAAGUGUAUUGAAAGCAAUUCCAAUACAAUGAAUUAGCUUCCUAUGGGCAGACAGACUGGUCCUAAAUAAAGUGGAAGCAUUAUAUCAGACCAAAUAAAAGUCACAACAGAGCUAGGUAAUGAAAAUGAAAAACCAAAAAUGGCAUGGCGAUAAGUAAACACCUUAGAACAAGAAGAUGAAAGAGAAGGAAAAGAAAAAUGAGAAAAAAAAGGAAGAACAUGGUACAAAAAGACAUGCUUUAAGGGGGAGAAUGGCUUUUAACAUAAUAAAAGUACAGCUUUUUCAAAUAAGAUUCCCCGAGAGAGCUUUAAGGUACAGAAUUGCUUUAUGACCCUAUUAUUCUAUAAAACUAAGGCCUUAAAAUAAGAUAAUAAAAUAGCAGAAUGAACUCAACAGGGACAUUUCAGAGCUAAGAAAACUAGUUGCAACUCCAAAGAGCACCAUGAUAGAUCUAAAAAAUUAUUUAGGAAGAACAAGGAACAAGAGAGACAGUGGUUGAAAAUAAAAUUAGUGGAAUGGAAGAAAUGCAUGACAUAAUCAGUGAAUGCAGAGAAAAGGGACAAAGAAAUUAAAAUACGUAGAAGGCAGUCAGUAUGGAGGACAGAGACCAGCCAACAGAGACAACAAAAUGGAACAGGAAAGGUAGUUAGAUAUGUGAUAAAAGAAACUUUCCCUGGAAUUAACAAAUGAAAUCUUAAACUAGAAGGUCACUCUGUAUGCUAGAAAAAAUUGAUACAGCACAAUAAACAUGCAGACACCCUUUGGUUAAGUUACUGAAAUUAAAGGAUAAGAAAAGAAAUCUUUAGCUAUUCAGAAAGAAAAAGUAAGUCACCUAUAAGGAGGAAAAUGAGGAUUGCCUUAGACUUCUCAGCAAUAUUCAAAGCCAGAACAUGAUGGAAUAAUAUUUACAAACUUCUGAGGACAAGAAAGUGGGACCCACUCAAAAACUGGUUAUAAAGUAAGCAAGCAGGCUGUCUCAAACAUGGAAAAAUACACAGAAAGUAGUGUUUAGAAUCUGGUAUGAAAGAUACAGAAUUUGAGAGACUUUCUUGGGAAAACAAAACAAAAAACACAAUACAUUUGACAUUGAAAUUCUGCCAAAGAAAUGAAGAUCAAGAAUUUAGGACUGGUAAAAGAAUCAGAAAUGGACACUGGACCCAUUUUUAAAAAGAACGAAGACGAAAUAAUGAGGAGUAUUGCAGUUACAGCACACAAUGUGAUGGUUUAUAACCUGGCCAAGUAAAAAUAUAAGCAAUGAACAAUAGAACAGGGAAAAGUGUAGGUGGGAGGACUAACCAAAGUGUAUCACUUCAUCUUUCAGAGCACAGUCAAUUCAUGCUGUCUCAAAUUAAACCACAUAGUUUAAAAACAAACAAACAAACAACGAAACAGCAGCAGCAUUUCCAAAACUUUGAUUUUUAUAAUCUCUGUGCUUAACCUAAGAGCCAGCAAGGCAAGGCAGCCUAUGUGUGCCAGAUUCACCUGCAGCUAUGUUUUGGUUUUGUAAGGUCAGUUCAGCAUUUUUAACUAUUUUAAAAUAUGAAUGUUUUUAGGUGGGGGGGUGAACUUGCCAGUUAACCCCAAUUUCCAUCGUAUUUCACCCUUUUAGGGAUCUGCCUGGCUUUGCCUGUGGGGGACUCUUUAGGAACUAAAAUCUCUUGUGAAGAAUUAUGUGUCUGAACUUCAAUCAUUCCUAGUGUAAGAUGAAAUAGUAAUUGAUCAAUAGAUAUAUUCCUCUCAUUUGUUUUGUAAAACAAGGUAUUUUUCUGUUGCACAACAAAUGACAUUUUCCCAUAUGUUAGAAUGACAUAAAUCUGUCUCUUGGCAAAUCACUGUUUCCUUAACUUGGCUGCCACCAGGCCUUGACUCCAGUGGCAAUCAGAAGUGAUACAGAGUAACUUUCCUGAAAGAUCCCUUUUACCACAUAGGAACACUCCUGGGAAGCUUCUCCUUAGGUGGUGUCUUUCUUAUGCUAUUUAAAGCCUUAGGGCUUAGCUGUUGUCACCUGCCAGCUAUUUCUUUGGGUCAGUUUUAACUUUCAGCCCUUUAAAUAGAGUACGGAUUGGGACUGAAAAGGAGCCAGAAGGAACAGCUGAUUGGCUGUGAAGGCCCGGUGGGGAGGAUCUGACACCCGCCUUAGAGGCUGAGCUGGUCAUUCUAAGAAAAACUACGUGGGUGGCCCCAGGGGCUACUCUGAUGGCUUUAGAACUGGCAUCUGAUGGGCACUGGAAGGACUAGCCCUCCAGCAGGAGACUAGCGACCGGGCACUGCAAAAAGAACUGCACAAUUCUUAAGUUAGUAUUUCUUUUCUUUCCUUUUUUUUUAUGUUUAUUUAUUUUUGAGAAAGAGAUAGAGUGCAAGCAGGGGAGGGGCAGAGAGAGAGGGAGACACACAGAAUCCAAAGCAGGCUCCAGGCCAGAAACUGUCAGCACAGAGCCUGACGCGGGGUUCACACUCACGAACUGAGUGAUCAUGACCUGAGCCGAAGUCGGACACUCCACCGACUGAGCCACCCAGGUGCCCCAUAAGGUAGUAUUUCCACAUCCAGGUACUUCAUCAGAUCUUCAGCCAUUUGCGAUGGCAAAAGACACUACCUUAGAAAGGCGAAACUAGCCUUUUAUUUAAAUUAAAUACUGCACUAAUCAAGAGAGAGAUGCCUCUCUUAGGUUUCUAAUUUAUAAAUAUUUCCAUAUUUGGAAGGUGUUCCGUAGGAGAGAAUAAAGGCUGAACCGUUUAAUGGUAGCAGUGAGAAUGGGGGAGGUGGUUUCAUACUGACCUGCUCCCCCACCCUAUUCUCAUGGCUGCCAUCACACAGGCCACAGGAAAGGAAGACUCAGAGUUUGUUUCCUGACUGGAUGUGGGAACAGAGAAGGAAUCAAGCUCCGUAACUUGAACAACAGAUGUUGCCCUCAUUUAGCGAAAGGAAUGUGCUUACAACGCAGCAGACCCUCAAUGUCGUUGAACGUGUGAAUACUGCUGGAUUUUUCCGACACCGAUAUCUGCCUCUUAGACUUUUCCCUGUAGGCUCGGCUGCCUGAAUGGACCUUUAUCUGCAGGCCACCAACUAGACUUGACGUUCUUCUAGACUUACUUCAUUCCACUUGAAUUUCCACCCCCGUAAUUGGCUUUCCUGGAAGAGCAACUCACUUUUCACUUCUGUACUCUACCUAGAUUAACAUCUAAGGCUUUACCUGGACCAUGACUUAAGGGAGAAGUUCGCUGGGUGGAGAAAGAGAAGGGGAAGCAGAUAGGAAGCAAGACAAUGGGAGCAAGCAUAUCAGCCACAAAACACACUGAAAUGAGAGUUAGUUUAUCCAGUUGUGAUUCCACUACGGUCCAUCACUGCCAGAGCUGAGUAGGACUCUGAAAUGAGGACUCAUGGAAACAGUACAGAUUGGAUCGAAAGCAGCAAAAAACCCGAUGAUGGUGUUUCAGGCAAGGAAAGUGGAUAAGCAACUGAGGGAAUGUAAAAGUUGCUAAAGGCAGCAUUUCGAGACAAUGGAGAUGCUCACACCUUGGACCUGUGUGUCUAGGUUCAGGGACAGAAGUUUAUCGAAUGUGUCUUUAGCUCAGCAACAUAGAACAAGGGCUGAUUUCUAUCGUUUACCCCUCACUGGACUUCACUUGAACUUACAGCGCUCCCCAGUGAUGCUACAGAUAUUAAACUGAUGGUUCCUGCUUCCUUCCUCUGAUUUCUUUUAUCCCCACACAAUAUUUAAUUUUUAUGGGGAUUGGCCAUCUUAGCAGCUUAUGAAAUGAGAGAUGGCUUUGACCAGAAGGUGUAAACAAGGCUUACUGUUUGAAGCUUCGCUAUUUGUAUUUGAGUUAUUUUCCUGGUCACAGACACAGACUUGCAGUGAUUUGUCAUUCAUUCAUUGCCCUGAGCUCCCAGCCCCUCGAAGGAAUGUAAUCCAAAUUUCCUCAAGCUGCUGACUUUCCACAGAUAGGGGGACUCAAGUGCCCCUGCUCAGGCCACUAGCUGUGUAAUGAAUGACUUCCGUUUUCGCUCAGACUUCCACCAAGCUAUUGCUAGGAGCCUCUGGGGCUGCCAUAUGAGAUCAUGAGCGCUGUUUCCACUUUGGACUGUCUUGUCAGCACCUGGGAUUUGAGGGCAGACCUCAUUGCUUCCAUUAUACAGCGUCCGAUGCACCCCAGAUCGUAAACCCUGUGGCGCCUGUGGCCCCUGGCCCAUCUGCAUUUCUUUCUGCACCUAAACCUAAACCACCCACGAUCUACACAGAGGUGAAGCUAUGCGUGAUGUGAUGGCACAGGCCCUUCUCCCCCGCAGGGGUCUCUGAGCCUCCCGGGGUCCCUCCUGCAUAUGGCAUCUUGACUCUUAUCUGCAGCCUUCUCCCGAUGCUUCAGAUAUGAGCCCACAGGGUUGGCUGUGGUCAGUAUCAGACGUGGACUCUCCAGCAGCCCAUACGACAUGCCCAGACCACCGUGAAUCCCGUGAGUGGGUGCAAAUUAGUGCGAAAUUUGGACCCCAGCCUCUCAUGUAAUUUUCAGAUGAUUUUCAGACAGAUCCAGCUCAAGGCUUAAAGUGAAGUGAUGUUUACAUUCAGUGGAAUGCACUGCUUUUGGCUCUCUAUCCUGGCUACCAGAAGGGCUGUCCCUGACCCAAAGCGUCUGUGCCUCUGGGAGCUUGUUAGAAAUGCCCAGUCUCAGGCUCCAGCCCAGACCUACUAAAUGCAAACCUGCCUUUUAACCAGAUCUCCAGGUGAUUUACAUGCACACUGAAGUCUGAGAAGCACUGCUGUAUAUCAUAACUGACAGAUCAGACCGUACUUAGGAAAUGGUGCUAAAGUGAUUUUCCAGAUCUGGGGAGCCCCGCAGCAUAGAACAUUGCAAGUAAAUCCAGUGAUUGCUUGCUAUUAAAUACCUAUAGAACGUUUUCUCUGUCUUUACGUACUCUUUCAUUUGAAUUCAGAUUUUAUUUUGGGAUUUUUGAUAUUCAUGUUAGUCAAUAAUGGAGUUUGAUAUUGUGUAUUAACUUGAAUUCUCCCUCCCUUCCAUUCUUCUUGGGUUAAGAACUCUGAUAAUAGAAGGGAACUAUAGACCUGACAUUCAAGGAAAAUCCAGAAAAUGAAUUCUUUUUUAUCUUCAGGCAGAGCAGCUCCAAUGAAUAGAGAAGUGUAAUAAAGCCUUUUUAUAUGCCUGUCAUAGAAAGACAAACCUUUUCCAAAGGAAAUGGAUUUGAGUAUUUGCGAGGUAUGAUAAACAGCCUGACAAAAACGAGCCUGAAUUUCCCUUUUAAAUGUUCAGCAGGGGGAGGUUUUAACUUCUCCUGUCAGGUAAAAAAAGAAUUCAUUAUGAAAGCCAUUCUAGCUGAAACUCAAAAAUGAAAACGAGGCCCGAUCAGAGUGGAAAGCAAUGAUUUAGAAAUGUGUUAAAGGGAGUAGUUUAAUGAAUAAAGUGUCAACUUUCCAUAGGAGCAAAAAUAAAUCACGCAAAGGCUUAACCAGUUUUGUCGCUGUGAAUUAGCUGGGCGUAGUUGGGACCAGCACACCCUGUAAGGAAACAUUAAAAUCUAAUUCUCGCUGAGAUUUGUGUACGUGCAUUGUUGAUAAUAAUGUUAAUAAUGGCAUUGUAUGCAUUUUACGACUUCUCUUUCCAGCAAUUGCCAAAAGCCGGAAGAAAAUGAGGCGCAGUUGAACGAAAAUGGCCCCAAUUCUCAGUUUUUCCACUCAGCGGAAAGCCUUGAGGCCUUGAAUCCACCCGUCCAGGAAUGACCUGAUGUCCCGCUGCAGAAUAGUCUAGACGCUGGGUGUUGCUGUCCUUGGUCUUGGUUCCCAGGUAUCUUCCUUUCCUAUGGCUGCCCUAUCAGAGUACCGCAGACCAGGUGCCUUCAGCAGAACUUCAUCGUCUCACGGUUCCGGAAGCCGGAAGUCCGCGUCAAAUUGUGGGCAGGGUGGUUUCCUGCGGGGGUCUGGGUGGGAGAACAGGUGCCAGCUUCUGGUGGUUUGCUGCCAAUCCUUGGCUUUAGAUGCACCUCACUGAUCUCUGUUUUCAUCUUCAUGUGAUGUUCUCCCUGUGUACAGGUCUGUAUCCAAAUUCCCACUCCCCCCACUUUUUAAAGUUUAUUUAUUUACUUGAGAGAGAGAAAGAGAGGGAGAGAGAGAGAGCAUGAGCUUGGAAGGGACAGAGAGAGGGGGAGAGAGAAUCCCAAGCAGGCUCAGUGCAGCUCCAUUCCACCAAUGGUGAGGUCAUGACCUGAGCCAAAAUCAAGAGUCAGACGCUUAACCGACUGAGCCACCCAGGUGCCCCCUGAAUUCCCCCUUUGUUAGUCAUACUAAAUUAGGGCCCACCCGGAUGAUCUUCUCUUAACGAAUUACAUUUUCAAAGAUUCUGUUUCUAAAUAAGGUCACCUUCUGAGUUACUGGGGAUUAAAACUCCAGUGUAUCUUUUUCUGAGACACACAAUUCAUGCAACUCACCAGGUGGGACUGCUUUGUAACAAGGUUGUUUGAUUUGUUAAUAACUAAACUCACAAGUUUGUAGCACAAUCCCUGGGCGAGUGAUCAGAGUGCAGCAAAUCACCAUGGAAUAAAUAAAGUAAUUCCUAACCUAGUCAUACAUACUUAUGAAGCACCGUUAGGUAUCUUUGAGGCAUGGGUUGUGUAAUACUUAUUUUAUUAGUAAGGAAAUGGAUACAAUAAGAGGUUAACAGAGUAUGCUUCUCACAUUCUAUAGCUAUAUGGUUUAUUUUCUUAUUAUUCUUUGUCGAACUAAAAAUGAGGGCAAGGAUCUUGGGUAGUUGCUUAAUACAAUGUUGACCAACUGAGCUUGGUACUUGUGAGAUGGUCAGAUUCACGUAAUUAGUGCUAGCUCUUAAGUACAGUGUGAAGCAACAGCACAGAGUGAAAGUACAAAUUUGUGAGAACGAGAAGACUGGAGCUUUAAUGGAGAACUCAUCGGAUCUAAGAUGCUACUGACAGCUGUGUUCCCUGUGGGAGAAAUUGCUUACCUGGAUGCCUCACUCUGGACACUGGAGUCUCCACUAUGCAUGGCCCGUGUUCUCCUUGGUCAGUCGUCACAGCUGGUUUGUGGUGAUGCUCCUCAGAUGUCUUCCUCCCUGGGCUCUCCAGCUGGGCGUCCUCAGAGAGAAAGACGGCGGAGCCCGUACCUGGCAAGAUGCACUUGCAGUCCCCUGCUAAUAAGUGUUUUUAUAUUGUGAAUACUGCUUUGCCUGGAUUCUAUUGUGCUGUGGGUAAAAGGAAAUGUCUGAGCAGUUGCUGAAGCCUCCAGUGGUUGGGUUUCCAUGGCAGCUCUCAGAGGGUUGAAUCCCUCCCCAGAAAAGAGUAGUUGAGUUUUCAUUUACAAAGGACAAAAAGGUCUUUACUGUGAUUUUGCUUUGGAAACUUCGGAUAAAUCUCCCUAGCCUUCCAGGUGCCACAUGGAGCUGGGAGGAGGGUCGUUGACUUCUGUAACAGUACAACACCCUAGACACAGGAUGGUGGUGAUAUGCAGCAACAAAAGAAUGCUGGCUCUUAAUCAAAAAGGGAAAAAAUUAUCAAAUUGACCUACUAGGCAUUCAUCAAGCACCUACUGAUAAUUCCACCUGCCAGAGAUGGCAAAUUUCCACUCUUUCAGGGUUCUGGGUUGAAUGUCAAGACUGCUUGUCUACUUAAUAGGAAAAUGAACUGCGGCAUUCUUUGAGCUGCUAAGCAAAGAUAUGGGUCUAAUCAACCACCACGUUAAACAUUUCAAGAAUCACAGCUUCUAUAAGGAAAUAGAGGUAAUGAUUAUCCAACAUGCUUUGUAAGAACAGCCCAACCCGUGGAAAGUUACCAUAAUGCAACUGAAAGAAUGGGAAACAAUUUUGCCCUAAAAUCUUGGAAAAUGUGAUUCCACUUGACCCAGAAAGAUGUCCAAAAUUUCUUUCCGUUCACUAAUUUUUUCUUCUGAUGUGUCCAAUAUGCAGUCAAAUACAACUAAUGAGUUAUUAUA